Molecule: long non-coding RNA, 230 nt
Filed under: Nicotiana benthamiana
Lineage: Eukaryota; Viridiplantae; Streptophyta; Magnoliopsida; Solanales; Solanaceae
Description: long non-coding RNA (NBEN_LNC031063)
Source: RNAcentral
CCUAGCUAUCUUCCGUGCGGCCUUAGUCACAAUCCGCCCCUGCGAUGUGCUAAGUCAGCCUUUCCCCGAAAUAUUGCCACAACAAAGCUAAGAGAAGUAAAGAGAAGCUAAGAAGAGAAGCUUGCAAGAAUGUUUUGUAUUAAACUAGAGAAUGCUUUAUACAAGUGUUGGAUUGCUUGAAUGUUUCUUGGAUGCAAAUGCCAAAUGCCUCUAGCCUAUUUAUAGUUGCU